Molecule: non-coding RNA, 160 nt
Organism: Staphylococcus sp. HMSC078E07
Lineage: Bacteria; Bacillati; Bacillota; Bacilli; Caryophanales; Staphylococcaceae
Source: Rfam
AGUGUCUUUUAAAAAGAGUCCAGAGAGGCUCAAAAGACAGGGUGACUAAUGAUAUAAAUAUGAUUAACUUUAAUUGUUCGAUUGUUAUCAGACGAAUCAUAUAAAAUAUUUUUAUAUACAUUAAACCUCAUGUCUUUGUAAAAGGCAUGAGGUUUUUUCU